This 1092-nucleotide long non-coding RNA is filed under the name Apteryx haastii (Great spotted kiwi). Its description in RNAcentral is "lncRNA (ENSAHAG00000005230.1)". The record is from RNAcentral. Lineage: Eukaryota; Metazoa; Chordata; Aves; Apterygiformes; Apterygidae.
AUGGAGGCGAUUCCCUGUAUCCAACAUGGUUGGGGGGGGGGGAUGGGACAGGGACUGGGCUGGCAAAGGCUCCUCCAGGACGCUUUUGGGGAGGUGAGGUUGGAGGACAAGGCUCUGGGAUGCUCGGAGAGCCGUGGCGAGGAGCCGGCAGGGUGGGGACAGGACCUGGCUUUUUAUCGGUGUUUCAACUCCUUCUCCUCUGUUAAAACAGUGCCAGCCCCCUAUUCCCCGCCGCACUUGCGAAAGCCACCAGUUAUUUCCUCCACUGGGUGCACGGUGGGGGGACCGAGCCCCCCCCCGACCCGUGCACCCCUCCAGCUUUUCCGUGCGCUCCAGAGCUCGGGKAAGCGGGUUCAGUCCUUGGGUGACCCCGUUUUCCCGUCCCCUUUUCCAGAUGCGCCGUUGUCACCCGCGUCCUGGCGGCGGCGGUGCCGGAGGGGCUGCGGUGCCGCAUGUCCAUGGUGCAGCGGGUUAGCUGCACGCGCGCCGGCUCCCCGGCUCGGGGCUGGUCCUCGGCGGCAACGCGGCGCCUGGGUUCGCUUCUCGCUCGCCGGGAAAGGGGCGGAGGGGGCCCGGGGGUGCUCGUCCGUGGUGGGCACCGAGGGGAAGGGCGGCGGGGAAGGGGGCCAGUGCGUUCCCUCGCGCUCGGUCCGGAGAGGUUUGCGGGCUCCCCCGCGGCUGGGAGGCAGGGAGGGGAGGGCAGGUCCCCAUGGUGCGGCGGCAGCUCCCUCCUCCUCCAGAGCGAUGGCGAGAAGCGUGAUACGUCCUCAACGUGUGCAAAAUCGAAGAGAUAAAGAGACUCCAACCGGGGCGGGGGCAGUGGGGCGGAGGGUGGUGGUGGCGGUGGCGGUGGUGGUGGUGGUGGUGGAGGUGGCAGGCGGUGGGACGUUGUCUCUGCUGGGCGGUGAUGCACAGGGAUCUGCAAGUGGGGAGAAGAGGGGUCACCAGCCCUGCUCUGGGCUUGGCCGUGUCUGGCCACCAAGCCGAGCAGCGGCAGGGCUGCUGUUCCCCUUCGGACGGGAAGCUCAUCCCUCCCCAGGAAGGAUGCACCCGUCACCUCCAUCACCUCCUCCCAGGGCCGGACCCUGCUGA